Molecule: RNA transcript, 2915 nt
Organism: Juglans regia (Persian walnut)
Lineage: Eukaryota; Viridiplantae; Streptophyta; Magnoliopsida; Fagales; Juglandaceae
Gene name: protein FAR-RED IMPAIRED RESPONSE 1-like
Exons: 4
Source: RefSeq, a predicted model, not a curated record
CCGGGGAGUAGGGGAGGAGAGGGGUAGGCCAGAGUGGGUCAGAAGCACACGUUUGAACAGGCAGUUCCAUGUGCACAAAUGGGUGAUAAUUGGAAAAGGAAGAAACGCUCAUCCACAGCAAAAACACUACACAUUUAGUGGAAACACAGAGAAAGACGAUCCACCAUAUCUACACCCACAUGGUUAAAACCCAACCUUUAGCACUCUCUCACUGUUCUCUCUGAUCUUUAAGCAUACCCGAUUCAGAGAGAGCCAAGAGAUGGAGAAGAGCAGCGAUGGGUUUGUGAGGGCCGAUCAGAUUGAUCUGAAGAGCUUGGACGAGCACCUCAACAGGGCUUGGAUCAUGGAGAAGAACAAGAAGGAGGAGGAUGGCACUUUUAACCAUACUCUUAGCAAUAGUAUUCAUAUUGACGUCAGGACCACCUCCAGGACUGUGAAGAAGGAGAGGCAGGAGUGGGAGAUCGAUCCCUCCAAGCUCGUCAUCAAGGCCGUCAUUGCCCGUGGCACCUUCGGCACCGUUCACCGUGGCAUCUACGACGGCCAGGAUGUCGCCGAGAAUUUGAAUGUUGCAAUGGAUGCCGAUAUAGAAUUUUCAAAUAAUGAGUGUGAUGAGGUAGAAAUUGAUAAGGAGAUUGGAGGUGAUGAAACAAUUGGAAUGCAAUUUUUAUCUGUAGAAGAAGUGCAUGCUUAUUAUAUGAAGUAUGGUAAGAAGAAAGGGUUUGGGGUAUCCAAAAGGAAUAUUAGACAGGAUGACGAUGGGACAGUAAGAUGGUUUUGCUUGGUAUGCGCGCGAGGAGGCACAUCGAAGAAUACGGUUGCCAAUGUUAUGAAACCAAGACAAACUGUAAAGAUGGGAUGUAAGGCUAGAAUUAAUGCGGUAUUAAAUGUUGAAUGUGGAUAUACUAUAUCUAAGGUGAUAUUGGAUCACACCCACGCCUGUAGUCCGGGGAAGGCAAGACAUUUCAGAUGUUUUAAGAAGGUUGAUGCUCGUAUUGCUAAGAGGCUUGAAAUAAAUGACGAGGCAGGUAUAAGGUUGUCCAAAAAUUUUGAGUCUUUGGUUGUUGAGGCGGGGGGUUAUGAGAAUGUAACAUUCGGGGAGAAGGAGGAUCGAAACUACAUUGACAAAGCACGACGACUUCGCCUCGGGGUUGGAGGUGGUGUAGCUCUAUGUAACUAUUUCGAAGAUAUGCAAAAAAGAAAUCCGGAGUUUUAUUAUAAGAUUGACAUUGACAAUGAGAUGCGGUUAAAGAAUGUGUUUUGGACAGACGCCAGGAGUAGAGCUGUGUAUGAAUCAUUCGGGGAUGUGAUUACAUUUGAUACAACAUAUCUAACUAAUGCGUAUAAAAUGCCUUUUGCACCGUUUGUGGGUGUGAACCACCAUGGACAGUCAAUCCAACUCGGUUGCAGAUUGAUAUCCAAUGAGGACGUAGAUACAUUUGACUGGUUGUUUCAGUCAUGGUUGUAGUGUAUGAAUAACCAACCACCAAAUGCAAUCAUCACAGACCAAGACAAGGCCAUGAAAAUUGCAAUAUUGAGAGUGUUUCCAACUUCUAGACAUCGAUUCUGCUUGUGGCAUAUAAUGAAAAAACUUCCUGAGAAAUUUGGCUCACAUUGUCGAUACAGGGAAAUCAAGAGUACCAUACAUAGAUGCGUAUAUGACUCUUUCAGUCAGCAUGAGUUUGAUGAACAUUGGUGCCGUAUGCUCGAUACAUAUGAUUUGCAUGAGAAUGCAUGGUUAGUAUUACUGUAUAGUGAUCGACAUUAUUGGGUGCCGGCCUAUGUUAGAGACAUCUUCUGGGCAGGAAUGUCAACCACAUAGCGAAGUGAAGGAAUGAAUGCAUUUUUUGACGACUACGUUCACUCUAGAACUACUCUGAAGCAAUUUGUUGACCAGUAUGAUUCGGCCCUUAGGAGGAAGGUAGAGAAUGAAGCAAUUGCUAACUUCAAUUCCUUUAACACGGACAUUCCGUGCAUAAGUCGUUAUCCUCUUGAGAAGCAAUUUCAAAGUGCAUAUACUCUUGCUAAAUUCAAGGAAAUACAAGAGGAAUUGCGAGGAUUUCUAUAUUUGACUACUAAGGAGAUGGGGUGUGAGGAUGGUAGAUAUAUGUUCGUUGUUGUGGAUGAGGUUCAAAUUGGUAAUGACUUAUUAAAACGUGUAACCUUUAAUGUGGAAGUUGAUCAAGAUCCCCUUGAUGUGAAAUACAGUUGUAAAUUAUUUGAGUUUAGGGGUAUUUUGUGUAGACACGCUCUCCAUGUCUUAACUCAAAUGGGCCAACAUACAGUACCAUCAAAAUACAUCUUAGAUCGGUGGAGGAAAGAUAUUAAGCGAAAACACACCUUCGUGAAAAGUAGUUAUGACACUACUAGCAUCGACGAUGCACGAAGGUACGAUAGGAUCCAAGAUUGUUUCUAUGAACUGUAAUGCUUCAAAGGCUGAGAGCAGUUGUGUUAAAUUGAUUAGUCAGAUAGAACAGUUGAAGACACAGUACUCUGGUAUCGCUGAUCAUGAUACUAGCAACACAGUUGAUACAGCUCCUUCGACGGAGGCUUCAACCCCUAGAGUUCUUAGUCAUUUGGUAGUUCGGAGUAAAGGAAGACUACCGUCUAAGAGAAAAGUGCACCCCUCUGAGAAGCGUAUUAAGAAAUCCAGUACGAAAAGGCGAUUGCACAAUAACCAAGUUGAGGAUCAACAAAGUCAAGUUUGGACACAUGCGCCGGACUUUUUUUCAACUCCUUCGACUGCUCAUCACUCAUAGGACAACAUUACAGAGGCUUUCCAUUAGGACUUCAGUGCUUUUUGAUUGAUAGAUACCAUGAGACAAAUUUGUACUUGGGAUAUUAUUGGACCUGUUUUUGUAUUGACGUGUUUAGAUCAUUAAUUGUAAUUUUGGGAUUGUAUUAAACCUGUUUUUGUA